AAGGAGGGGGAAGAGGAACUAGAAAGACGAGCACAGCGACAGCAGAAGUUCAACAGAAGUUUUCCACUGUAAGUGUUUUAUCACAUCUGAAUGGCUGCUGCUGAGUCUCUGAGAGCUUUUAUCAGCGAGCGGCUAACUGCUGCUGCUGCUGAAAUAUUGGGAGUGUUUGAACAAACUAUCGUCCAGUACGAGGGAGAGCUGGACCGUCAGCGCAAACUGCUGGAUCUGCUCCUGAAGCCUGAGAUCAAGCUACACAGAACAGAAGAUGGAGUCUGACAAUCCGGGGUGACCAGGGAAGGUCACGACAUUUUGGGGGCCCGUCCAGGAUAGAAGGUAAUUAUAUUUUUCUCAGAUCCGUCAAUUGAACACAGGGGUUGAUUACGAACAGACAGAGGACACGUGGCGCGCCAACAAUAAGGUGAGCAGACCAUUUAUAUCUGCAUUGACUACUCUAAAGUGUAACAUGUCCCGAGUCUUAGUAGUAAUCUGCCUGUAAAUUAUACGAACAUUGACUGAAACAAAAAAAAAAAGAGGUUAAAGAAUUCUUGUAAGAAUAAAGAUAAAGAAUAAGAGAAAGGAAAAGGAAAAAAGGGGUUGCAAAAUCCUGAGUGUGGCGACUCCACCGGUGCUCUGACGAGAGGCCGGAAAAGCUGGGUUUGAGUCCCGGGGCUUGAGGAACCCUAAAUCACUAAAAAAAGAGAGAGGAAAAGAACAACAGGCAAACACAUGGUAUGAAUGUUGGAAUGACUGGAAACUGAAACAACGACCACACUAGUUAGGCGGAAGUUGUAGUAAGUCUGCAGGCUUCCAAAUUACAGACGUAUAAGAUUCUGGUGUCGUGGAAGAGAGGCUAGUCUCAAAUCCACUGGACUUAGUACUAGGGACACAGCGUGCCAUAUUUCUCAGUCGGCCUGAAUCUAGACAGUGAAGAACACUGUUAUAACUGUGAGCCGUCUAAAAGAGAGACGGCAAGAACAGAUGAACUGUGAGUAGUCGGACCGGCUACAAGAACAGAGGAAAGUCCUGUAAGUUCAAAAGCACCCCUUACUGAGACACACAGCUGAGAGUGAAGCUGUAACACACACACAUACUGAGCGCUCAUAUUAUGGGUAAUGCAUGAAUGAGAAAUGUGGAUGAGUGCCAGGGACGUGUGAGCUGAAGCAGCAGCACUGCUGGAAACCUAACUGGUGCUAACGUAAAGCAGUGGUCUGUUGAAGUAGGUUCACUCACGAACUGGAUUAGUUUUUUCUUCUGAUGUGUACAUAGUUUGGUAGAGGACAUAGAAACAUUGUAACUGCAGUUUUGUAAAUUUGAACUUAAACUAUAGUUUUGUAAUUCCUACGUG
This is a long non-coding RNA of Parambassis ranga (Indian glassy fish), 1345 nucleotides long. The record is from Ensembl. NCBI's taxonomy places the organism in Eukaryota, Metazoa, Chordata, Actinopteri, Ambassidae.